UUUGCUGACGAGUGGCGCACGGGUGAGUAAUAUAUAGGUAACGUGCCUCUUAGUCUGGUAUAGCCAUUGGAAACGAUGAUUAAUACUAGAUACUCCUUCUCAUUAUAAUUUGAGUCGGGAAAGUUUUUCGCUAAGAGAUCGGCCUAUAUCCCAUCAGUUAGUUGGUAAGGUAACGGCUUACCAAGGCAAUGACGGGUAGCGGGUUUGAGAGGAUGAUCCGCCACACUGGUACUGAGACACGGACCAGACUCCUACGGGAGGCAGCAGUGAGGAAUAUUGCACAAUGGAGGAAACUCUGAUGCAGCAACGCCGCGGGAGGAUGACGCAUUUCGGUGUGUAAACUCCUUUUAUAAGGGAAUAAAAUGACGGAACCUUAUGAAUCACCCCCGGCUAACUCCGUGCCAGCAGCCGCGGUAAUACGGAGGGUGCAAGCGUUACUCGGAUUCACUGGGCGUAAAGGACACGUAGGCGGGUUGUCAAGUCAGGUGUGAAAUCCUACAGCUUAACUGUAGAACUGCACUUGAAACUGGCAACCUAGAGUAUGGGAGGGGGAGAUGGAAUUAGUGGUGUAGGGGUAAAAUCCGUAGAUAUCACUAGGAAUACCGAAAGCGAAGGCGAUCUCCUGGAACAUUACUGACGCUAAGGUGUGAAAGCGUGGGGAGCAAACGGGAUUAGAUACCCCCCGGUAGUCCACGCCCCUAAAACGAUGAACACCUAGCUCGUUCGGGGAUGCUUA
This 736-nucleotide ribosomal RNA is filed under the name uncultured bacterium. Its description in RNAcentral is "bacterial SSU rRNA". It matches the Rfam family "Bacterial small subunit ribosomal RNA", at positions 84 to 836 of the family's 1533-position model. The record is from RNAcentral.